GGGGGGAACUUUACUCAGUUUGAUU
Molecule: microRNA, 25 nt
Filed under: Daphnia pulex (common water flea)
Lineage: Eukaryota; Metazoa; Arthropoda; Branchiopoda; Diplostraca; Daphniidae
Also listed under: 1 other name
Description: Dpu-Mir-12608_5p* (star (passenger))
Source: RNAcentral